RNAcentral lists this ribosomal RNA (253 nucleotides) under uncultured bacterium. Its description in RNAcentral is "partial 16S ribosomal RNA". It matches the Rfam family "Bacterial small subunit ribosomal RNA", at positions 524 to 776 of the family's 1533-position model. The record is from RNAcentral.
UACGUAGGGUGCGAGCGUUGUCCGGAAUUACUGGGCGUAAAGAGCUCGUAGGUGGUUUGUCGCGUUGUUCGUGAAAACUCACAGCUUAACUGUGGGCGUGCGGGCGAUACGGGCAGACUGGAGUACUGCAGGGGAGACUGGAAUUCCUGGUGUAGCGGUGAAAUGCGCAGAUAUCAGGAGGAACACCGGUGGCGAAGGCGGGUCUCUGGGCAACAACUGACGCUGAGGCGCGAAAGCUGGGGGAGCGAACGGG